Long non-coding RNA from Rhipicephalus sanguineus (brown dog tick), 1039 nucleotides. RefSeq lists it as uncharacterized. NCBI's taxonomy places the organism in Eukaryota, Metazoa, Arthropoda, Arachnida, Ixodida, Ixodidae. The transcript is spliced from 3 exons. The record is from RefSeq and is a predicted model, not a curated record.
AUGACGGGUACACACUACGCGCCUGCUUCCUGCUGGCCCCCGUACCGUAUAUUUCUUGAACAAACGAAUGUUUGGCACAUGUCCUACGUGAGUACGACAUGCACAUGGCACAGAUUCCACCCGAAAGUUCGUGCCAUCAACCUAUGAGAGUGAAGGAUCACCUGCCCAGGGAGCGUUUCCCCAGUGUAGUUUACUAGGUACCUUGAGCAGACUGCAAGGGUGUUCACAUCUGAGUCAGGAAACUGCAAGAAGCGUAUGCAACACUAUGCCUAUGAUGUAAGUAAUACAAGCAUUCGCAACAAAGCUUCAGCAGAACACGCCGUGAUGAAUGACUACAAGAUUGAUUGGACCAACGCAAGAAUCGUCACAACAGAAAAAGUGACAGCAUCUUGGCUACGUAUGGAAUCGUUUAUCAUGCAGACCACUUAUAAAAGAGUUAACCUUAACAACAGAAAUCUAAACGUGAUCAAUGCGAGGUCUUUGCAGCAAUUUCUCAAACCUAUUCAAAUGAACCGCUUCUGCUGAUGCAUUCAUUGUUGCAAGGCUUCCGUGCUCAAAGCCGAAACGUGAUAAACGUUUGUUUGGUCUGGUCGCCAUCUCUUUUUGUUUCAAAUGUACGGUGCCAGCCAAACGGGAUUCAUUCACGCUGCCGACUUCCAUGUCAACACAAAGAGUGCAGAAACCGCAACAGAAGGCCACUUGCCACUGCGUUGCAAAGGAGACUCCUGAGGAGGCGUUUUGUGGAUGACACGGCCUGUUCGAGCCUUCCAUUGUGGGAUGAACAGUUAUUCCCAUCAUUAGAGCCUUCACCAAAUGAGAUUGGAGGUUCAGCACAGUGUUGCUACGGCAGCAACAACUGCGCCUGCUACUGAGUCUGCUGCCACCUCAUAUCCUGCAGCCACACCAACUAAAUGUGCUGCCUCUUCUGGUCCUACAGCCUUAGCAGUCACACUGCUUUCUACCUCUGAUGCUGACAUGUCGCAGUGUUCGUUCAGCAAGAAUGAACAGCUAAGAUAAUCAAGGAUCCACAAGGACUAUU